Microcebus murinus (gray mouse lemur) is the source of this 2219-nucleotide non-coding RNA. Lineage: Eukaryota; Metazoa; Chordata; Mammalia; Primates; Cheirogaleidae. The record is from RefSeq and is a predicted model, not a curated record.
UGUAUAUAAAUAGAUAAAUAUUAUAUAAUUUGUUAUUUUUAUAUAAAUGGGAUAACAUACAUAACUGGUUUUAUGAGCUGCUGUUUAUAUAUAGGUACCUUUGCAUGACCAUAUGUAAUAAUAGCUAACUCUUAUGUACUACUUAUAUAUCAAGCAGUGUUUUAAGUACUUUAUAUAUUAACUCCUUUAAUUCUUAUAAUAACUUACAAUUCACAGAUAAGGAAGUUGAGAUAUAGAGCUUAAGUGGUUUGCUCAAGAUCAUAUGUCUAAUAAGUGGUAAAGCUGGAAUUUAAACCCAGAAGGAGGAUUGGGCUUGAGGCUUCCUCUCUACUCUCCCCAGCUUCUCCAAAAAGAGAGAGCUACUUUUCCAUUUUUAUGGCUAGUUUAUUAAUAUAGGUCAUGAAACAAGAGUGCUACAAUUAUAUGUCAGAAAACAGAAGAUAAACAAAUGAUGCCUAAGCCUGUAACCUGGCUGGGCCCAGCUACAUUUUGUUAAGGGGGGAGCACAUCGGAAAAUCUGAGAGCCAUGGUUUAAGAGUUGGGAAAGUAUAAAGGGAGUGUGUAGCACAACAGCACUAGACAACUCAGAGGGAGUCACCUACCUAUGGAGAGACAUCAAGGACAAACUCAGCGGGCUCAACAUUUUCUCCAGAGAUGAGUUUUUUAGGUAAGUCAUAGGUGAGUGACAUGUUUGAAUAAUCUCAGCAAACUACAAAACAAAUGUCAAUAGAUAAGAAUGACCUUUUUGGGCUCAGUAGUAUAGUUUUACAUAAUUAUUAUGUUUUUACAAGAUAAUAAUUAUAGCUUUACAAAAUUAUUAAGUUCAAAAAAAGUCUAUCUAAUCUGUAAAAUUUAUGCAGGUUGAGCAUCCCUAAUCUAAAGAUCCAAAAUCUGAAAUGCUCCUAAAUCUGAAACUUUUUGAGCACUAACAUAAUGCCACAAGUGGAAUAUUUCCACACCUGAUGCCUUUGCUUUCUAUUGGUUCAAUGUACACACAUGUUGUCUAGUGCACCGAACUAUUAAAAAUAUUGUGUAAAAAAAAUAUAUUGUGUAAAAUUAGGCAAUGUGUAUAAGGUAUAAAUGAAACAUAAGUGAAUUUUGUGUUUAGACUUGGAUCCCAUCCCCAAGAGAUAUCAUUAUGUAUAUGUAUGCAAAUAUUCCAAAAUUAAAAAAUAUCCAAAAUUCAAAACACUUCUGGGUCCAAGCAUUUGGGAUGAGGGAUACUCAGCCAGAAUUAGCCCUUUUCCCAGGCUUUGCCAUUCUCAAUACUAUUCAUCUCUAGUAUUGAUUUAUUUAAAAGAAGAUUAAAAGUAAAAAUAUAACUUAGAGAAGAGAGAUUUCCUGAUUUUUUAAGUAUGGGUAGGAUCAGUGUGUAUUUCCAAAGGCAGAGUGGAAAGUACACAUAUAUUAAUAUAUGAUCCUUUAAAUGUAUUUUAAUAGCUCUGUGUCAGUUUUAAAGAGCAUCUUAAGAUAUAUGGCUAACUGAAUUUUACCAAACUGAAUUUUUACUGUUCUAUUCAUGAAUUGAGAAAGUCCUCAGGAAAUACUUAGACUCAUAAUUUUGGCUCCUUCAGAACUUUGGCUUGCACAGAACUAGUUGGUUAGACUUGUCUCUACCACACAGUAUCUACUCAACUUUGUAACACAAUUUUUUAACUGAAUGUCAACUCAAAUUUUUGAACUAAGCUAUUUUGAGUCACAGACUUGGCCAACAUACGUGUGAGUUUUCCUUGGGACUAUGUCUACCCCUCAGGCUAGUCAGUUGUGGCUGGGAGACACAGAGACCACAAAAUAUCUAGUAUUACAGUUAAAUUUUUAAAAUAAACACACAGAUGGUUUAUAUGGAGCAUAUUGGAAAUGCUUAUGGUUUCUUACAGAAGAAUAUAAAUAUAUGAACAUUUUAGCCCUUUAAAUACCAAAAUCUAAGGUCUAAUCGCUUUAAUUGAUACUUAAAAGUUUCACCAUGAUUGAUGCUUUGGAAUUAUGAGGACCUAAAAGCUAACAGAUUCUUUUCUUAUCUGUCACUCUUCUACUGAGCUAUGCAAGGUUUUUUGAGAUGAGCAUACCUAAGGUAUUAAUAGAAAGUAUCAUCAGAGACACAUUAAAAUCCAGAAUUCACUUUGCUGUGUGGAAAUCACAUGGUCUUUUACCCAGAAUUCCUGGGAAUUCUCCUUCCCUCUGGGUAUAGAGCAAGACACCUCUCAUAUGAUGGCCUUCAU